UGGACGGAACAGUUUUCUGGAGU
RNAcentral lists this non-coding RNA (23 nucleotides) under Cricetulus griseus (Chinese hamster). Lineage: Eukaryota; Metazoa; Chordata; Mammalia; Rodentia; Cricetidae. The record is from RNAcentral.